AGCAGCCGCGGUAAUUCCAGCUCCAAUAGCGUAUAUUAAAGUUGCUGCAGUUAAAAAGCUCGUAGUUGAAUUUCGGGACCAUCAUGUCGGUCGUGCCUCGGUACGUACUGGCAUUGUUGGUUUCUACCUUCUGACGAACCAUGAUGUCAUUUAUUUGGUGUCGUGGGGAAUCAGGACUGUUACUUUGAAAAAAUUAGAGUGUUUAAAGCAGGCUCACGCUUGAAUACAUUAGCAUGGAAUAAUGAAAUAGGACGUUUGAUUCUAUUUUGUUGGUUUCUAGGAUCGACGUAAUGAUUAAUAGGGAUAGUUGGGGGCAUUAGUAUUCAAUUGUCAGAGGUGAAAUUCUUGGAUUUAUUGAAGACUAACUACUGCGAAAGCAUUUGCCAAGGAUGUUUUCAUUAAUCAAGAACGAAAGUUAGGGGAUCGAAGACGAUCAGAUACCGUCGUAGUCUUAACCAUAAACUAUGCCGACUAGGGAUCGGAUGAUGUUAAUUUUUUUCAAUGACUCAUUCGGCGCCUU
RNAcentral lists this ribosomal RNA (520 nucleotides) under uncultured Glomus. RNAcentral's name for it is "SSU rRNA". It matches the Rfam family "Eukaryotic small subunit ribosomal RNA", at positions 569 to 1089 of the family's 1831-position model. Lineage: Eukaryota; Fungi; Glomeromycota; Glomeromycetes; Glomerales; Glomeraceae. The record is from RNAcentral.